This is a long non-coding RNA of Ruditapes philippinarum (Manila clam), 351 nucleotides long. RefSeq lists it as uncharacterized. The record is from RefSeq and is a predicted model, not a curated record. The transcript has 3 exons. Lineage: Eukaryota; Metazoa; Mollusca; Bivalvia; Venerida; Veneridae.
AUCUUCAACAAAACUUGUUUACAUAUUUAGGUAUCGCUGCGGCAGAAGACUGUGUCAGUACGGACACCACAACAUGCGGACAUGUCACGUGUGCUGCCGGAUUUACACCAACAUGUGACACAAAUAUUUGCACGUGUAACCCAGCUCAGGAUCCAUCAGUCUGUUCCAGUUUAAGUGAAUGCAAUGAUUAUUGGUUUGGAAAUCACUGUAGAGAGAGGGAUAGACAUUGCAUAGAUGGUCAUUGUAAAUGCCAACGUCUGCAUUGAUAUGGGAUACAUGAUCCGGAACAUCCAACACCAAGGCUUUCGUAUUCAGUGAAUUUUGUCAAAAACACAAUAAAGAUAUUAAACU